This 557-nucleotide ribosomal RNA is filed under the name uncultured bacterium. RNAcentral's name for it is "bacterial SSU rRNA". It matches the Rfam family "Bacterial small subunit ribosomal RNA", at positions 102 to 694 of the family's 1533-position model. The record is from RNAcentral.
ACGGGUGAGUAACGCGUGGGAAUCUACCCAUCUCUACGGAAUAACGCAUGGAAACGUGUGCUAAUACCGUAUACGUCCUUCGGGAGAAAGAUUUAUCGGAGAUGGAUGAGCCCGCGUUGGAUUGGCUAGUUGGUGGGGUAAAGGCCUACCAAGGCGACGAUCCAUAGCUGGUCUGAGAGGAUGAUCAGCCACACUGGGACUGAGACACGGCCCAGACUCCUACGGGAGGCAGCAGUGGGGAAUAUUGGACAAUGGGCGCAAGCCUGAUCCAGCCAUGCCGCGUGAGUGAUGAAGGCCCUAGGGUUGUAAAGCUCUUUCACCGGUGAAGAUAAUGACGGUAACCGGCGAAGAAGCCCCGGCUAACUUCGUGCCAGCAGCCGCGGUAAUACGAAGGGGGCUAGCGUUGUUCGGAUUUACUGGGCGUAAAGCGCACGUAGGCGGACUAUUAAGUCAGGGGUGAAAUCCCGGGGCUCAACCCCGGAACUGCCUUUGAUACUGGUAGUCUUGAGUUCGAGAGAGGUGAGUGGAAUUCCGAGUGUAGAGGUGAAAUUCGUAGA